This 520-nucleotide ribosomal RNA is filed under the name uncultured Glomus. Its description in RNAcentral is "SSU rRNA". It matches the Rfam family "Eukaryotic small subunit ribosomal RNA", at positions 569 to 1090 of the family's 1831-position model. The record is from RNAcentral. Lineage: Eukaryota; Fungi; Glomeromycota; Glomeromycetes; Glomerales; Glomeraceae.
AGCAGCCGCGGUAAUUCCAGCUCCAAUAGCGUAUAUUAAAGUUGCUGCAGUUAAAAAGCUCGUAGUUGAAUUUCGGGAUUAAUAUGUUGGUCGUGCCUUGGUACGUACUGGCAUUAUUGAUUCCUACCUUCUGAAGAACCUCGAUGUCAUUAAUUUGGUGUCUUGGGGAAUCAGGACCGUUACUUUGAAAAAAUUAGAGUGUUUAAAGCAGGCUCGCGCUUGAAUACAUUAGCAUGGAAUAAUGAAAUAGGACGUUUGAUUCUAUUUUGUUGGUUUCUAGGAUCGACGUAAUGAUUAAUAGGGAUAGUUGGGGGCAUUAGUAUUCAAUUGUCAGAGGUGAAAUUCUUGGAUUUAUUGAAGACUGACUACUGCGAAAGCAUUUUGCCAAGGAUGUUUUCAUUAAUCAAGAACGAAAGUUAGGGGAUCGAAGACGAUCAGAUACCGUCGUAGUCUUAACCAUAAACUAUGCCGACUAGGGAUCGGAUGAUGUUAAUUUUUUAAUGACUCAUUCGGCGCCUUA